This 654-nucleotide ribosomal RNA is filed under the name Tomentella brunneogrisea. RNAcentral's name for it is "partial large subunit ribosomal RNA". It matches the Rfam family "Eukaryotic large subunit ribosomal RNA", at positions 34 to 654 of the family's 3401-position model. The record is from RNAcentral. Lineage: Eukaryota; Fungi; Basidiomycota; Agaricomycetes; Thelephorales; Thelephoraceae.
UUAAGCAUAUCAAUAAGCGGAGGAAAAGAAACUAACAAGGAUUCCCCUAGUAACUGCGAGUGAAGCGGGAAGAGCUCAAAUUUAAAAUCUGGCGUGCCUCCGGUCGUCCGAGUUGUAGUCUGGAGAAGCGUUUUCCGUGUUGGACCGUGUAUAAGUCUCUUGGAACAGGGCGUCAUAGAGGGUGAGAAUCCCGUCUUUGACACGGACUACCAAUGCUUUGCGAUGCGCUCUCAAAGAGUCGAGUUGUUUGGGAAUGCAGCUCAAAAUGGGUGGUAAAUUCCAUCUAAAGCUAAAUAUAGGCGAGAGACCGAUAGCGAACAAGUACCGUGAGGGAAAGAUGAAAAGCACUUUGGAAAGAGAGUUAAACAGUACGUGAAAUUGCUGAAAGGGAAACGCUUGAAGUCAGUCAUGUCUGCCAGGACUCAGCCUUGCUUCUGCUUGGUGCACUUUCUGGUUUGACGGGCCAACAUCAAUUUUGACCGUUGGAGAAAGGCUUUGGGAAUGUGGCACCUUUGGGUGUGUUAUAGCCCUUUGUCGUAUACAACGGUUGGGAUUGAGGACUGCAGCACGCCUUCAUGGCCGGGGUCGCCCACGUACGUGUUCGCCCACGUACGUGCUUAGGAUGUUGGCAUAAUGGCUUUAAGCGACCCGUCU